Molecule: ribosomal RNA, 311 nt
Filed under: uncultured eukaryote
Lineage: Eukaryota
Description: partial 18S ribosomal RNA
Rfam family: Eukaryotic small subunit ribosomal RNA
Source: RNAcentral
CCCUUAGAUGUCCUGGGCCGCACGCGUGCUACACUGAUGCAUACAGCGAGUACUCCCAGCUCCGAGAGGCUGCUGGUAAUCAGCAAUAUGCAUCGUGAUGGGGAUAGAUCUUUGGAAUUAUAGAUCUUGAACGAGGAAUUCCUAGUAAUCGCAGGUCAUCACCCUGCGUUGACUAAGUCCCUGCCCUUUGUACACACCGCCCGUCGCUCCUACUGAUUUCGAGUGAUCCGGUGAAUCAUUCGGACCGCGGCCCCUAGGCAUGCGGAAAGUCUAGUAAACCAUAUCACUUAGAGGAAGGAGAAGUCGUAACA